This 241-nucleotide long non-coding RNA is filed under the name Elaeis guineensis (African oil palm). RNAcentral's name for it is "long non-coding RNA (EGUI_LNC052994)". Lineage: Eukaryota; Viridiplantae; Streptophyta; Magnoliopsida; Arecales; Arecaceae. The record is from RNAcentral.
GGAUAAAUUUUGGUUAGCAAUUAUAAUUUUAAAAUUUAAUAAUAUUUAAAAUUUUACUGUGAUACUCUUUUAUAAUAUUUUAUUAUAAAAAAAUAUUUAAAAUAUUAUAUAUUAUUAUUUUUUAUAUAUUUUAUUAUUUUUAAAUAAUUUUUUUCUUUCUUUUUUCUCCUUUCAUAAUUUUUUAUUUUUUUUAUCAUAUUGAUCUUAUAAAAUAAAAUUUUUGGAUUCGUCACUUGCAAAA